This 549-nucleotide ribosomal RNA is filed under the name uncultured Glomeromycotina. Its description in RNAcentral is "SSU rRNA". It matches the Rfam family "Eukaryotic small subunit ribosomal RNA", at positions 548 to 1098 of the family's 1831-position model. The record is from RNAcentral. Lineage: Eukaryota; Fungi; Glomeromycota.
UUGGAGGGCAAGUCUGGUGCCAGCAGCCGCGGUAAUUCCAGCUCCAAUAGCGUAUAUUAAAGUUGUUGCAGUUAAAAAGCUCGUAGUUGAAUUUCGGGGUCAGUAGGUUGGUCGUGCCUAUGGUAUGUACUGGCUUUACUGAUUCCUCCUUCUUGAAGAACUGUAAUGUCAUUAAUUUGGUGUUGCAGGGAAACAGGACUGUUACUUUGAAAAAAUUAGAGCGUUUAAAGUAGGCUAACGCUUGAAUACAUUAGCAUGGAAUAAUGAAAUAGGACGUUCGAUCCUAUUUUGUUGGUUUCUAGGAUUGACGUAAUGAUUAAUAGGGAUAGUUGGGGGCAUUAGUAUUCAAUUGUCAGAGGUGAAAUUCUUGGAUUUAUUGAAGACUAACUACUGCGAAAGCAUUUGCCAAGGAUGUUUUCAUUAAUCAAGAACGAAAGUUAGGGGAUCGAAGACGAUCAGAUACCGUCGUAGUCUUAACCAUAAACUAUGCCGACUAGGGAUCGGAUGAUGUUAAUUUUUUAAUGACUCAUUCGGCGCCUUACGGGAAAC